CCUACGGGGGGCAGCAGUGGGGGAUAUUGCACAAUGGGGGAAACCCUGAUGCAGCGACGCCGCGUGAGUGAAGAAGUAUUUCGGUAUGUAAAGCUCUAUCAGCAGGGAAGAAAAAAGACGGUACCUGACUAAGAAGCCCCGGCUAACUACGUGCCAGCAGCCGCGGUAAUACGUAGGGGGCAAGCGUUAUCCGGAUUUACUGGGUGUAAAGGGAGCGUAGACGGCAAUACAAGUCGGAAGUGAAAUACCCGGGCUUAACCUGGGAACUGCUUUGGAAACUGUAUGGCUGGAGUGCUGGAGAGGUAAGCGGAAUUCCUAGUGUAGCGGUGAAAUGCGUAGAUAUUAGGAGGAACACCAGUGGCGAAGGCGGCUUACUGGACAGUAACUGACGUUGAGGCUCGAAAGCGUGGGGAGCAAACAGGAUUAGAUACCCGAGUA
RNAcentral lists this ribosomal RNA (438 nucleotides) under uncultured bacterium. RNAcentral describes it as "bacterial SSU rRNA". It matches the Rfam family "Bacterial small subunit ribosomal RNA", at positions 338 to 792 of the family's 1533-position model. The record is from RNAcentral.